UAAAAAGAUAAGAGCAGUUUAAUAAGCAUAAAGUUUCCCCUAGUUAAGAAUUUCCAAAUCAAACUUAUGCAAAUUCCCUUCUAUCUUUUCUGCAUUAAUCCUGAAUCAAGACUACUUGCUUAAAUCCUCCCCUCAUCGCCUCAAAUCAAACCUUGAGAUUGAGCCAAACUCGGCAGUAAGUUGCAGAGGUAACCUGAGAGAGGUAUUUUGGUGUUUGGCCUAAAUUUAUUAAGUUGAUUUUAUUAUUGAUUUCAGGAUGAAUUCAUUGAUAAGAUCACUGUCUAAAUCAACCUCAAGUAAUAAUAAAAACAGUGUAAAUAGUGACGAACAUAACAUGGAAAACUCAAACAUAGAAAACCAUUUGAAGAAAUGGAAAGUUCCAAAAUUUUCAAAAAAGGCAGUCUAUGAAACAAGCAUUUUCAAUUUCAGAAAAGAUUGUUCUAUCGAAACAACCGAGCGAAAAGUUCCAUUGAGUAACAAGCUUGAAUGCAUCAAAUUGUUUGAUCAGCAAGCUGUAAGAAGACACACAGAGAAAUACAAGUAUUUGCAUAUAGGAUUAGUCCAGGUCGGUGUCAGACCGCUCACACAUGAAGGAGUCAACACAUCAAUUUUGCUUUGCCUUAGAGACAAGAGGCUGCUUGAUUUCAAUAAUUCAUUAUUAAGUGUUCUUCAAUCAAGCCUUGUUGAUGGUCCUGUUUAUUUUAAUUGUUUUCCAAACAUUAUGGUUUUUCUUCAGGAUCCGAAUAUUAUGCAUGUUCUUACACUAAAUAUUAAGCUUCAGAAUUUGGAAACCCAAGAGACUUGUUUCCCUGUUGUGUUGAUGUAUAGAGUUCAUUACAAAUGCCUAGUAGAUCCAUUCAACACAGCUGCCAGAAAAUCUAGUUCCAGAGAUAAAACUCUUUUUUUCCAAACAAAAAUCAAAAGGCCAAGUAUUGACAUUCCUAGAGUCAUCAAGUGGAGUGAAAUCCAAUUUCCUGAAGAAUGGAAGCUCCAGGAUGAGAAUCCUCGGAGCAACAAGAACGUCAAUCGUCCCAAACCAUACAGUGUCCUGAUGGAGUAGCCCGGAUUCGGUUCAUAUCAAGAAAUAAUGGGGAGUCUUCUACAGGAUUUGUCAUCAAUUAAUGAAGAAUGUUAUUAAGUGUUAUAGAGCAAGUUUCUCAUUCUAUCUCUAGCUCAGUGAAUACUAGUUUAUGUUUUUGAUUUUGUUUGGUAUGUGGUUUGGAUUGUGUACAAAUUAUACUUAUAAAAGAACCUACCGGGACUAGAGGAAUCCAAGGAAGGUUCAAUAACCAUGCAGAAAUAUGCUGUAAAAAAACCACUUUGAGCCAUUAGUUAACAGAAUUUUUUGAUUCA
This is a long non-coding RNA of Pistacia vera, 1353 nucleotides long. RefSeq lists it as uncharacterized. Lineage: Eukaryota; Viridiplantae; Streptophyta; Magnoliopsida; Sapindales; Anacardiaceae. The record is from RefSeq and is a predicted model, not a curated record. The transcript is spliced from 2 exons.